UUUCCGUAGGUGAACCUGCGGAAGGGUCAUUACCGAGUUUUCACUGGAUUGUAACUGUCCUUCCUAGGCAUUGCCGCGCUCUGCUCAUCCACUCUACACCUCGUCACGUACUGCUGGUAUCACAUCGCGAAGCGUUCCCUUUUACCGGAGCUUGUGAAGCGUUUCUGUGCCUGCGUUCAUCUCAAACACUAAAAAGUAUCAGAAUUUGUAUUACGAUGUAACGCACCUAUAUACAACUUUCAGCAACGGAACUCUUGGCUCUCGCAGCGAUGAAGAACG
Molecule: unclassified non-coding RNA, 279 nt
Filed under: plant metagenome
Description: partial contains small subunit ribosomal RNA, internal transcribed spacer 1, and 5.8S ribosomal RNA
Source: RNAcentral